AGGGGGGNCCCCCWWAGAAUACUCAAGCUAUGCAUCCAACGCGUUGGGAGCUCUCCCAUAUGGUCGACCUGCAGGCGGCCGCACUAGUGAUUACGGGGAGCAGCAGGCGCGAAGCCUUUACACUGCACGACAGUGCGAUAAGGGGACCCCGAGUGCGAGGGCAUACAGUCCUCGCUUUUCGUGACCGUAAGGAGGUCACAGAAUAAGUGCUGGGCAAGACCGGUGCCAGCCGCCGCGGUAAUACCGGCAGCUCGAGUGAUAGCCACUUUUAUUGGGCCUAAAGCGUCCGUAGCCGGCCGAACAGGUCCGUCGGGAAAUCCACCCGCUCAACGGGUGGACGUCCGGCGGAAACCAGUCGGCUUGGGGCCGGGAGACCAGAGAGGUACGUCCGGGGUAGGAGUGAAAUCCUGUAAUCCUGGACGGACCACCGGUAGCGAAAGCGUCUCUGGAGAACGGACCCGACGGUGAGGGACGAAAGCUUGGGUCUCGAACCGGAUUAGAUACCCGGGUAGUCCAAGCCGUAAACGAUGCUCGCUAGGUGUGGCGCAGGCUACGAGCCUGCGCUGUGCCGUAGGGAAGCCGAGAAGCGAGCCGCCUGGGAAGUACGUCCGCAAGGAUGAAACUUAAAGGAAUUGGCGGGGGAGCACAAUCCCGCGGCCAUGGCGGCCGGGAGCAUGCGACGUCGGCCCA
RNAcentral lists this ribosomal RNA (690 nucleotides) under Halococcus dombrowskii. Its description in RNAcentral is "bacterial SSU rRNA". It matches the Rfam family "Archaeal small subunit ribosomal RNA", at positions 281 to 922 of the family's 1478-position model. The record is from RNAcentral. Lineage: Archaea; Methanobacteriati; Methanobacteriota; Halobacteria; Halobacteriales; Halococcaceae.